RNAcentral lists this ribosomal RNA (101 nucleotides) under uncultured bacterium. Its description in RNAcentral is "partial 16S ribosomal RNA". It matches the Rfam family "Bacterial small subunit ribosomal RNA", at positions 1383 to 1482 of the family's 1533-position model. The record is from RNAcentral.
UUACACACCGCCCGUCACACCAUGGGAGUGGGUUUCACCAGAAGUAGGUAGUCUAACCGCUAAGGAGGGCGCUUACCACGGUGAGAUUCAUGACUGGGGUG